This 72-nucleotide transfer RNA is filed under the name Tuber melanosporum (Perigord truffle). Its description in RNAcentral is "tRNA-Arg (ACG) (tRNA-Arg-ACG-2-1)". It matches the Rfam family "tRNA". Rfam says of the family: Transfer RNA (tRNA) molecules are approximately 80 nucleotides in length. Their secondary structure includes four short double-helical elements and three loops (D, anti-codon, and T loops). Further hydrogen bonds mediate the characteristic L-shaped molecular structure. tRNAs have two regions of fundamental functional importance: the anti-codon, which is responsible for specific mRNA codon recognition, and the 3' end, to which the tRNAs corresponding amino acid is attached (by aminoacyl-tRNA synthetases). tRNAs cope with the degeneracy of the genetic code in two manners: having more than one tRNA (with a specific anti-codon) for a particular amino acid; and 'wobble' base-pairing, i.e. permitting non-standard base-pairing at the 3rd anti-codon position. The record is from RNAcentral. RNAcentral also lists the same sequence under 1 other name. Lineage: Eukaryota; Fungi; Ascomycota; Pezizomycetes; Pezizales; Tuberaceae.
GGUCGCGUGGCCCAAUGGCAAGGUGCUUGACUACGAAUCAAGAGAUUGCAGGUUCGAUCACUGCCGCGACCA